This 545-nucleotide ribosomal RNA is filed under the name Targionia fabianae. Its description in RNAcentral is "partial 28S ribosomal RNA". The record is from RNAcentral. Lineage: Eukaryota; Metazoa; Arthropoda; Insecta; Hemiptera; Diaspididae.
AUCUGGGCGGCGGAAUUCAGAAUGGCCGGCGUGCUUUCGCGGUGCGUCGGUCGUUUGAUAUUUCCGUCGCCAAUUUCGCAGACGUCGCGACCUGUUCGCGGUCGGUCCCUGCUCGGAGGAGCCGCGUUCGAGCUCGUUGUGUGCACGUUUCGGCGUGUCACACGGCGAAGGCGCGGAUCUCUGGCUGGCCGUCGGACAGUAUGCUUAACGGUGUCCGGUGUCGUCGUCUCGUACGCGCGGCACCGGUACCGGUCAGCGACGAAUUCUUCGGGCCUCUUUCCGACCCGUCUUGAAACACGGACCAAGGAGUCUAACAUGCGCGCGAGUCGCGGGGUAUCGAGCGUACUUCGGUGCGUUCGUUAUGUUGCGAAACCCGUACAUGUCGAAGGCGUAAUGAAAGUGAAUGGGGAAGAUGGUGUUCCGAGUUCACGUUCCGCGAUCGCUGGUAUCGCGGCCGGACACCCGCACUCCCGGGGCGUCUCAACGGCCCGUCGCUGAUGCGGACAGUCGUCUCUCGGGGCGGCUGUCGGUCGGCGACGAACCGA